This 1356-nucleotide long non-coding RNA is filed under the name Harpegnathos saltator (Jerdon's jumping ant). Its description in RNAcentral is "uncharacterized LOC105188809, transcript variant X1". The record is from RNAcentral. Lineage: Eukaryota; Metazoa; Arthropoda; Insecta; Hymenoptera; Formicidae.
GCGGUCGGACACGAAGCUCCUUGCUCGACUUUCGAAUUCUCCCCACUCCAGCCCUGAAUUCACCACCUCACCGAGUCCUGGCUGUUCCAUCCCUACGAUGGCGACGCCCAGCGUCGAUUCGUGCGCAUUUCCAUCCCCAACUCAGAGACUCAUCCUCUCAUGGACGUCUGUGCGCUUAUCGAGAGGCAAUUGUUUUGCGAUAAACCAGUGUAUCAACGUAAAAUUGAUAAUGUGCUCGAAAUAUAUUCGACUAGUAUAUUGGAUCGUAUAAAAUGGUGCUAAAGGGGACACAAGGGGGAAGACGAAGAGGAAGAAACACGAGGGGAGAAGAAUGGUGCUAUGGAAUGGCUAGGGGAAUGAGAGGAAAGGGAAAGAUGCCGGCUGGCAAGCAGAUGGUUGCCCCGUUUAUUGGUUUAUUCGUCGGUUCAGCCAUGACGUUCCGUCUAGCCAUGAAACAAGACCGGAGGUUCUCCUUGUGUUAGAGAGUAUCAAGUAACAAGACCACGACUACUCUUUCUAUUAAAAAUGCAUCCAAGAGCCAUUUGCUCAUGUUGCAUUGGCGAGGAUAUAAAAGCAAUUUCGGCGGUGACGUGUAAACGUGCAGGAACAUAUAGAUGAAAUCCAGUAAUGGCGUCCUAGGGGCGGACGAAAUGUUCGGGUCGAUAGAAGGAAGGCUACCCACGGAGCUCAAAUACUCUCUCAUCUUAUUGCCGACAAUCAUCCCCACCAACAGCUCUUCAGCGACUCAUUGUUAGAGAUAUAAUCGGCAAUUAUCUGAAAUAAUUGCAUGCAAACGAUCUGCUCGCUCGUGUCAUGACCAAGUAACCUGGAAAUGAAAGGUACGUCGACACACGUACAGGAAUAAAAGGAGCUGUACCGCUAAGAAGACGAAGAAGAAGAAGAAGAAAACCAAGGAGAACGCGACCUUGCUACAUUCAGCUGUGUCAUUCUCAAGCCGUUAACGCUCAGGUGGUUUCGAUCCCAGGGACGAGCAUCAAUCAUCAUCGGUAGUGCAGGUGUAAUGUGAUCAUUGUCACUGAGAUAACCCAGUACGAUAUUCAUUUAUGAAGCGUGUUAAGUGACAUAACAGAGUUUAUCUGUAACAGCGUAUCUAAAUACUUUGUGAAAGAAGCGACUUCAAUAUUAGUACCUUGAUAACAUGCAAUUUGUUGGGGCAGAUCGUUGUCGGAUCAAAGCCAUUACGAAACAAUUAUUCAUUCAUAUUUAACGAAAAUGGAAAGGUUUUAUGAUGUAAAAACAUAGUAGCGGAGAUACGCUAAUUAAAGUUAAAACAUAAUUGCGGUCACGCGAAUACACAGAGUAAGGAAAAUAAAGAAUAGCAAAUUUUUCCGAUUU